This 246-nucleotide ribosomal RNA is filed under the name uncultured bacterium. RNAcentral's name for it is "partial 16S ribosomal RNA". It matches the Rfam family "Bacterial small subunit ribosomal RNA", at positions 524 to 768 of the family's 1533-position model. The record is from RNAcentral.
UACGGAGGGGACUAGCGUUGUUCGGAAUUACUGGGCGUAAAGCGUGCGCAGGCGGUCUGUUAAGACAGAUGUGAAAUCCCCGGGCUUAACCUGGGAACUGCAUUUGUGACUGGCAGGCUAGAGUAUGGCAGAGGGGGGUAGAAUUCCACGUGUAGCAGUGAAAUGCGUAGAUAUGCGGAGGAACACCGAUGGCGAAGGCAAUCCCCUGGGCCUGCACUGACGCUCAUGCACGAAAAGCGUGGGGGA